Molecule: ribosomal RNA, 494 nt
Filed under: Ochromonas sp. CCMP1393
Lineage: Eukaryota; Chrysophyceae; Chromulinales; Chromulinaceae
Description: partial Bacterial large subunit ribosomal RNA
Rfam family: Bacterial large subunit ribosomal RNA
Source: RNAcentral
GUACUUAUUACCUGAAUACAUAGGGUUUUAAGAGCGAACCCGGGGAACUGAAACAUCUAAGUACCCGGAGGAAAGGACAUCAACCGAGACUCCGUUAGUAGUGGCGAGCGAACGCGGACCAGGCCGUGCAGUAAUAAAAGCCGAACCAGUUGGAAAGCUGGGCGAAAUGGGUGACAGCCCCGUAGGCGUUUAAAAAUCUGCCGUUAGAGUAGGGCGGGACACGUGAAAUCCUGUCUGAACAUGGGGGGACCACCCUCCAAGCCUAAGUACUCCACAUUGACCGAUAGUGAACCAGUACCGUGAGGGAAAGGUGAAAAGCACCCCAACGAGGGGAGUGAAACAGACCCUGAAACCGGACGCCUACAAACAGUCGGAGCUUCCUUGAGAAGUGACGGCGUACCUUUUGUAUAAUGGGUCAGCGACUUGGUCUUACGAGCAAGCUUAAACCGAUAGGUGUAUGCGCAGCGAAAGCGAGUCUUAAUAGGGCGACAUGU